UCCUGCUCUUUAAGAGAGUCAAGGCUGUAUGCAUUACUGGAUUAAUUCGAAUUAAUAGUAAUAUAAACUAGGGUCCACGUAGACUAUUCAGAGGAGGUAUGCUAAUCAAUGAUCUACUGAUGUAGCUAGUGUUACUGAAGCUUUUGCUAGAUAUGCUAUUGGCUUAACUGGCUCUAAACCCUCCCACCGGAUAAAGGAAUGGAAUUUCAAGUACAAGUAGUCGUCUACACUUAAAAGCUUUCUUGUCUUCACUGAUCAACAUUUAGUUUGGCCUAAGAUUUUCUAAGUCCGACGCAUCACUUACUUUUCGUCAUCG
RNAcentral lists this long non-coding RNA (316 nucleotides) under Nicotiana benthamiana. RNAcentral describes it as "long non-coding RNA (NBEN_LNC024668)". Lineage: Eukaryota; Viridiplantae; Streptophyta; Magnoliopsida; Solanales; Solanaceae. The record is from RNAcentral.